RNAcentral lists this ribosomal RNA (484 nucleotides) under uncultured bacterium. RNAcentral's name for it is "partial 16S ribosomal RNA". It matches the Rfam family "Bacterial small subunit ribosomal RNA", at positions 30 to 507 of the family's 1533-position model. The record is from RNAcentral.
AUUGAACGCUGGCGGCAGGCCUAACACAUGCAAGUCGAGCGGAUGAAGGGAGCUUACUCCUGGAUUCAGCGGCGGACGGGUGAGUAAUGCCUAGGAAUCUGCCUGGUAGUGGGGGAUAACGUCCGGAAACGGGCGCUAAUACCGCAUACGUCCUGAGGGAGAAAGUGGGGGAUCUUCGGACCUCACGCUAUCAGAUGAGCCUAGGUCGGAUUAGCUAGUUGGUGGGGUAAAGGCCUACCAAGGCGACGAUCCGUAACUGGUCUGAGAGGAUGAUCAGUCACACUGGAACUGAGACACGGUCCAGACUCCUACGGGAGGCAGCAGUGGGGAAUAUUGGACAAAGGGCGAAAGCCUGAUCCAGCCAUGCCGCGUGUGUGAAGAGGGUCUUCGGAUUGUAAAGCACUUUAAGUUGGGAGGAAGGGCAGUAAGUUAAUACCUUGCUGUUUUGACGUUACCAACAGAAUAAGCACCGGCUAACUUCGUG